AAAGUCUUCUCAUCAAUUACUAACAACCCUUUCCUUUCAUCAGCCUCUCCACUGUCCACAAUCAACCAUGAGGGAAGAAAAUAUCCAAACUUGGAAUACUUCAAACUAUUCGCUGCAAAAACUGGAAAAGAAAAACAAGAAAAAGCCAAAAAAAACAGAAAAAAAAUGAUAUCUACUAAAGCAUUGAUUAACCAAAGAUGUUUUCUGUAGAGGAAUAUCCAUCACAUAUUAUGUGCUCAUGGUGGAAUUUAUACACCAAUAGGAAUCUCUUGUAAUCAGUUUGCUGUGCUGAGAGUUUACUCAUAAAAAUUUUAAAUUGAGGGGGUUAGAUGCCAAAAAAAAAUGGUAUUAGUCAAUGGAAACCAAGCAACGUAGACUGGUUAGAAGCUUUUAACGGUCCCCCGGGUCCGUCGAUCUCGCGCGUAUGCACAA
This 432-nucleotide long non-coding RNA is filed under the name Phoenix dactylifera (date palm). RNAcentral's name for it is "long non-coding RNA (PDAC_LNC002990)". The record is from RNAcentral. Lineage: Eukaryota; Viridiplantae; Streptophyta; Magnoliopsida; Arecales; Arecaceae.